This is a transfer RNA of 77 nucleotides. It matches the Rfam family "tRNA". From Rfam's summary of the family: Transfer RNA (tRNA) molecules are approximately 80 nucleotides in length. Their secondary structure includes four short double-helical elements and three loops (D, anti-codon, and T loops). Further hydrogen bonds mediate the characteristic L-shaped molecular structure. tRNAs have two regions of fundamental functional importance: the anti-codon, which is responsible for specific mRNA codon recognition, and the 3' end, to which the tRNAs corresponding amino acid is attached (by aminoacyl-tRNA synthetases). tRNAs cope with the degeneracy of the genetic code in two manners: having more than one tRNA (with a specific anti-codon) for a particular amino acid; and 'wobble' base-pairing, i.e. permitting non-standard base-pairing at the 3rd anti-codon position.
CGGCGUGUCGCCCAGACGGUAGGGCAGCGACCUCAUAAGUCGUACCGGCGGCGGUUCGAGCCCGUCCACGCCGACCA